UCCUACGGGAGGCAGCAGUGGGGAAUAUUGGACAAUGGGGGCAACCCUGAUCCAGCCAUGCCGCGUGUGUGAAGAAGGCCCUCGGGUUGUAAAGCACUUUCAGCGAGGAAGAACGCCUAGCGGUUAAUACCCGCUAGGAAGGACAUCACUCGCAGAAGAAGCACCGGCUAACUCCGUGCCAGCAGCCGCGGUAAUACGGAGGGUGCAAGCGUUAAUCGGAAUUACUGGGCGUAAAGCGCGCGUAGGUGGCUUGAUAAGCCGGUUGUGAAAGCCCCGGGCUCAACCUGGGAACGGCAUCCGGAACUGUCAAGCUAGAGUGCAGGAGAGGAAGGUAGAAUUCCCGGUGUAGCGGUGAAAUGCGUAGAGAUCGGGAGGAAUACCAGUGGCGAAGGCGGCCUUCUGGACUGACACUGACACUGAGGUGCGAAAGCGUGGGUAGCAAACAGGAUUAGAUACCCUGGUAGUCCACGCCGUAAACGAUGUCGACCAGCCGUUGGGUGCCUAGCGCACUUUGUGGCGAAGUUAACGCGAUAAGUCGACCGCCUGGGGAGUACGGCCGCAAGGUUAAAACUCAAAUGAAUUGACGG
RNAcentral lists this ribosomal RNA (587 nucleotides) under uncultured bacterium. RNAcentral's name for it is "bacterial SSU rRNA". It matches the Rfam family "Bacterial small subunit ribosomal RNA", at positions 337 to 916 of the family's 1533-position model. The record is from RNAcentral.